CAGCACUAAUAAUUGUUAUAAAUAAGGCAUUGGAGGGAGAGAAAUCUUUACACAGGGGGAGUAUGUAUUAAAAUAAUUUACAUAGUUUUAAUAUGCCAUCAUAUAUAUAUAUAUUAGUAACGAAAUAAAACUGAAAUCAUUUAAUAUAUCCGUGUUAUAAGCUGGUUUCAUGUUUGGGAACUUAUAACUUUGUUUCGCUUACAUUUGGGUAUAAUUUAUAAAUAUAAACGAUGUUAUCAC
Non-coding RNA from Cinara cedri, 240 nucleotides. The record is from the annotation of a GenBank genome assembly. Lineage: Eukaryota; Metazoa; Arthropoda; Insecta; Hemiptera; Aphididae.